Long non-coding RNA from Siniperca chuatsi (mandarin fish), 3517 nucleotides. RefSeq lists it as uncharacterized. The transcript has 3 exons. The record is from RefSeq and is a predicted model, not a curated record. NCBI's taxonomy places the organism in Eukaryota, Metazoa, Chordata, Actinopteri, Centrarchiformes, Sinipercidae.
AUGAUCCAAUCGAUGACAGCCAGGAAGAGAAUGGGGGAGAGAAGAGUACAGUUGACAAAACAAACACAUUACGGCAUCAUUUACUUUUCUGUCAGCCCCAUUUUCCAUUCCAUUUUUGUCUAGCACUUUAAAUCCAAGUACCGUAUGAUACAUAGCGUCAGGUAGUUCAAAGCAUUUACACUGCGCAGUAUGUACUUUGAGUAUAGAUAACGUUCGUUAUUUACUGACUUGCUCAUGAGUCAAUACAGCCAGUUUCAGGUUCAUUUGCACUGUAAACUAAACUGGAGGAAAAUAAUGAAACAACUGGAGUUCUUGGUAAGUUACACACACACACACACACACACACACAUACACACAUAGUGUUGGUGUUUUGAAUGCACCUUCAGGUUAUAAUCUUUAAGAACUGCAUUAGAUCAAACCCCAUUUUUUAGAAUAUUUAUGGGCGGCCUUUUUUUGUAUUACAUUAACUGCCUUUCUAUGUAGUACUUCAUAGUUAGUGGUGGAGUCUGCCAUUCCCACACAGGUUCCAAAUAGUGUAACUAUGCAUGCAUGUGCGGGAUGUAUGGCAGAGGGCAAAAGCAGGUGCAGUGUCUGGUGGACAUUGGGGGUUAAUCUUCUUUAUGAAAACAUAAUGUAAACUGCGCUGUAAACAAACAUACAAGUUGCUCUUCUUCAGUUGCAUUUCUGAUGUGGAGCACAUCAUUUUCCAUGCUUUGGUAUUGUUCGUCUGCCUGUUGGAAAAGCACUAAGGACCAGACACACACAAAAGCACACACACACAUGCAAACACACACACACACAUCCACACUUCCUUUUACACGCUGAAAAAAAUGCUUCACUCAAAUAAAUAACACAAACACGCACAUACUUGUUCCUAAAGACAACUUUGCAUCAUCCAAAUGACUCAGUAUGACCACUGAAAUUUGCCAUGAGGAACUAAACAUCCUGCUUACUUUCCUAUCAAAUGAAGUGGUCUGGUCUGGAUAAUAAAGUAGCACUCAAGGAUUUGAGUGUUCUGCUGUGAUGCAGUUACACGUGUUGACCUUUCCUCAGGUACUGAAAAUGAGACUUGCUGAAGCAGCUUUGUUUUAUGUAUCUGCACAGUGAUGAGACAGUAAAACAACUUGAUAAAGAUGCUAUCUGAAGAUUUUUGAAUACUCGCACACAUUGUCAAAAUGAUUGUGACAUCGUGGUAGCAAGAGUAAACAAAUGAGACCAUGUUGAUUGUCGGUGAGGGAGAGCAAGUUAUUUUUUUGUAUAGCACAUUCAACAACAAGGCAAUGCCAAUCAACUGCAACCAUUAAAGCUGUGCUGGCAGAGCAGAAAAUGUUCAGUUUGCAUUAGCAGUAACUUAAUACAGCUCAAAUACAGCUCUGAUACGAAUGUAAGAGUGAUCCCUAAACAGUGAGGCUGAUAUCUGUUACAAGUAAUUACAGGUCUCUAUGAGUUAAAUGAAACUCCAAACCACUAAGAUUGAGUUACAAGCUAUUAAAGUACAUUUUCUCUAGUUACCAGGCCAACCACACAUACAGUACAUUGAGCCAAUCAGUUUAGCACAAGACACAGCUUGUCAUGCUGGAAGGGAAAGGGGGAAAAAAAAAACUUUUUUGGGAGAUACAGGUGAGUUGGGCACCUUUUGUGACACUGAAUUAAAGUCAAUAAUAUCAAGUUUUACAACCAUUUCAGAUCAAUUAGUAACUUCCUAUUGGAGCUCCUCUCAAUGGAGAUGUCUUGUGUUUUUUUUUUUUUUUUUAAUGGAAAUCUCCAUUACAAGCUCUUUCCUGGUUUAACUCUAAUACUCAUCAAUGAAACUUGCCAUGAAUGUUUUUAUUGCCUCAUUUGACAGCAGGGCACACCUUUCGAAACUUAAAAGGAAGAUCAUGUUGGCACAGAAAAGUUGGUAAGUUUCAACACACGUGACUUACGGGAACACAGUCAUGUUCAUCCUGUAUUAGUCACUGCAGCUGGAUGAUAACUGGUGGAUAGAAUUUGUUAAAUAGAGGUUUACACUCACAGUCUCCAAAAUGAAUGUUUGUGCCUGCCAUAUGAAUGUAACUAAAAUAGAACCAUGCCAUGGUCUUAUGGCUCUGGUAAAUAACCACAAACCAACAGUGAGGCAGUCACUGUAGUUUGACCAUUGUUCUCAUGUUUUUAUUGUGACAGUGAAAAGGUUGUAACAUUCUUUAUUUUCUGCUGCAAACGUUUUGUACUGUAUUGAGGCUCUGAUGAUGACUACCUUAUAUGGUUUGUAAUUCUUAACUAUGCACUUUAGCCAUGAAAUAGGAUUUUUUUUAAUCCACACCUUCUAAACAUUUCUUUCCUCUUUGUACAAUUUGGCACUCAAACAGUUUUCAUUUAGAAUGUAACAUUUUGGGGGGCAGUGAAUCUGCAUUGUCAGUGAUAAUAAUUGAUAUCAUAAUGACUUUUUGGUUCAUGAUUUCUAAUAUGGAGACAAGCAAUUUGUUAAAUGCUAACAGUAUAAUGGAAGGCCAUUCCCUUUGCUAAUUGUUGGUGGUAUCCUGCUAAAAAAAGACUAACAUUAAGCUUAAUAUUACAUAAAUCCACUCAGUAUAUUGUCUGUAGAGCACCCGCUUCUUUUUUUCUUCACUACACUGUAGACUGCAGCCAUUGGCCAUCACUCACUAACUUGAGUCAGUCACUCAUGGACAUCAUGAAAAGUCACUACUUGUCCAAACAUGUGCUUUCAUGCAAAUUAUGGUUGAUGACUGUCCAAUCGCUAACUUGGAUGCAAACCUAUUUGGUGCUGUGGAGGCUGCACCUUGUUUGCUCUUAUGCAAACCGGGACACAAUGACGUUCAGACAACUUUUUGAUCCAGAGGAAACACUUAAAAACCACUGGAUACAGAUGUGAAAUGUAGUCAACAUUCAACUUGAUGAUGGAUUGAGUCAACAAUGUAGAUCCACUGUGUACUGGACAGUUUUAUGCUUGUUUUCUACACUUUUAACAAUAAAUUGAAGGUUUAGAUUACAACACACAUACAUUUAUUACAGAUUCAAUUGCUGCUCUUGACUAACAUGGUCCAUUUAACUAUUGUGUGCACUUACUGUUUUCCUGUGCAAUGAACGAUUAUUUGUGACAUUACAGGUGUGCUUGCUUUUGAUGUGGUUUAGAUAAUCUUGCUAGCCUGUUGGCGUUUUUACAACCUGUAUCGUCUGACUGCUGGAGUUUGUUGCCCAGUUGGACCAAUUUUUUUUUUAGAUGUUUUCACAUUCUGAGAUCUCAGCAACUACUUUGAAUUACAGAGGCAAAAGCACCCUCCAUGUUGUUGAUAGACGAGCAUUUACAGAUCUCACCUAAGCCACCACCAAGGCUAGAGCCAGCACUGCAAGUCUCUCUUUCCAUCUGACAAACACCAGCCUGCAGCCAAGAUGAAGCUCUGUGCAGACUGCAGGCUGUAACACCAUGAAGGGUGUUGUUUUGCACAGCCACUGUUAGUGUCAUUGGAUGGGAGGUCAUGUGACAGGAAAACUGACAAAGAUCUAGAUGGUAGACUUC